CCUUGAUCUGGUCAUGGAGAAGCCAGAAGUCCAGGGAGAGCUCUGCCCUGGGGGAAGACUGGGAGAGGGGCUGAGAGCUACAUGUUUUAGACCUGCUGAAUCAAUGUACCUCAGUCCUGGAAAGGACAGGUGGGCUGAUGGGUCCAGCCACAUGAUCCUACUGGUGGCAGACCCUCAGGAAGUCUUCAGGAAGCACAGGUGCCUCGUUCAGCACUGAAGUCCAAGCCCUGGGUAUACCCCAUCGAACUGAGGUCUUCCUGGCAAAAUUACCCUCUUUGGAUAAGGACCAAUGGGGAGCCACAAUAAACCAAAUGCUGUGAAGGGGCAGAGCAUGUGAAUAAAACCAUGAAGGCAUGACUGGAAUGAUUUAUUCAUAGAACUUGAAAGUAGGAAUAGGAAACAAUUAUUGCAAUUUGGAAAAGGCCAGUUCAAGAGAAAUUUUUAAAAAAAGAAAUAAUUUGUAGAGGACAGGACUGGGUGGCUCAGUUGUUUAAGUGUCUGCCUUGGCCUCAGGACAUGAAGCCAGGGUCCUGGGACAGAGCCUUAUGUCAGUUCUCUGCUCAGCGGGAGCCUGCUUCUCCCUCCCCCCAUGCCUGCUACAGAAUUAAAUCUUGUAAAAAACUGAAAUCAUAUUAAGCAUCUUCUCCGAAGACAAUGGCAUGAUACCAGAAAUCGAUUACAAGAAAGCGCUGGAAUAAACACAUACACAUGGAAGCUAAACAACACAUUACUAAACAACUGAUGGGUCAACCAAGCAAUCAAAGAGGAAAUAAAAAAAUACAUGGAGAGAAAUGAAAAUGAAAACACAAUGGUCCAAAAUCUUCGGGACACAACAAAAGCAGAUCUAAGAGGAAAGUUUAUAGUGAUAAAGACCUAACUCAAGAAAAAAUAAAAAUUUCAAACCCAACAUUACACCUAACAGAGCUAGAUAAAGAACA
Long non-coding RNA from Mustela lutreola (European mink), 938 nucleotides. RefSeq lists it as uncharacterized. NCBI's taxonomy places the organism in Eukaryota, Metazoa, Chordata, Mammalia, Carnivora, Mustelidae. The record is from RefSeq and is a predicted model, not a curated record. The transcript is spliced from 3 exons.